This is a long non-coding RNA of Erinaceus europaeus (western European hedgehog), 2331 nucleotides long. RefSeq lists it as uncharacterized. The transcript is spliced from 3 exons. NCBI's taxonomy places the organism in Eukaryota, Metazoa, Chordata, Mammalia, Eulipotyphla, Erinaceidae. The record is from RefSeq and is a predicted model, not a curated record.
GCAGGGCCCGGCUUUUCCUGCUGAUUCAUGCGUUGGAACUGUGGGGGCGGGGCUUGGAACUUGGAACAAAGUUCAGACAUGGAGGGGCCGGCAGACAGCCUGGAAUUCAUACCAGAUGUACCCGGAAUGCGCAAACGGAAUGCCUGGCAUUUAAGAGUCCUGGGGAAACUGCCCAAUCACCCUGCCCAUACUUCCCUACCCUCCAGCCUUUGGUCCCUUGCCCCCUACCAUAGUCCCAGGAGUCUCUGCCGACCUUUUUCCAAACUUAUGCCCUCCUCCCUUCCUCAUGCUUUCCCAGAUGUAGCCCGCACCCCCCCACCCCCACCCCCAGCUUCUUCCAGCCAGCUGAAUUCCCUGGAAACAAGUCUGUUAUGCUGGUCACUGAACUCACAUUUCUGGAUCAGAGAUACCUGUACCUCCCACAUCCUCACCUGGCUGAGCCGCAGUAGUUCUUCAGUGGCAAGCUUUAUGUCCUGACCCAGCUAAAGCUGCCAGUUGAAGAACUGUUGCCCUCUGCCCCUGGCUUCAAGGAGGAGGAGAAGGAAGAAGAGAGGAACCGUUCCCCCCUCAUCUGGAAGUGUCUCCCUCCAGUCCUGGAUAUGUGGCUUUGCCAUCCUCACCCAUCUUGGAGCAGAGAUGAGCAAGAGCAGCCUGGGAAGCAGAGGCAGACAGAAGACCAAUAAAGGACCAAGCCUGGAGACCACAGGGCCCCAUCUGGGCAUCUUGCAGAAGGGGCCCCCAAAGACUGGAGGUACCCCCAAGAGGAGGGAGAACAGUCAGCUGCCACCACCAUGGACAAACUCCAACCAUGUGCUUCAUCCUUUCUGCCUCCCACAGAGAUGUGGGACUACAGGAAAGUGUCCAGUGACUCCAGCCUCCCACUUCCAGCUCUCAUAACAUGUAAUUUUUAUAUAAUCAACCUAAUGAAACAGAACCUGCUAUGCAAGGAGACAUUCAGGAAACUUAUAAAAUAAAUCCAAAUGGAAGAAACCAUGAAAAAUGUAUAUAGUUCAUUUAUUUUACCAGAACACUGCUGAGCUCUGGUUUAUGGUGGGGACAGUGCUGGGGACUGAAGCUGAGAUCUCUGAUGCCUCUAGGGUUAUCAUUGGGGCUCAGUGCCUGCCUACAGGACUGCACACUCCUAGUAGUCUUUUUUUUUUUAUUUUUUUUUUUAUUUUACCAGAGCACCAUUCAGCUCUGGCUUAUGGUGGUGCAGGGAAUUCAGCCUGAGCCUGGGACUUUGGAGCCUCAGGCAUGAGAGUCUCUUUGCUUAACCAUUAUGCUAUCUACCCCCGCCCUUUUCUUCUUCUUAUAGAUAGAAGGUAAGAGAGAAUUAGAGAGGGAGAGAGAAAGAGAGGAGAUAUCACAGCACAACUCCAUAGCUUAUGAAGUGUCCUUCCCCCUCUGCAGCUCCUUGUGCAUGGUAAUGUGUGUACUCUACUGGGUGAGGCACCUCCCGCUCCCCCUUCAUUAAUAAAAUUACAAAGACACAUACAGCUACAAGCCUUUUUCUCAUAGCAGAAUCUAACAGAAAAUUUAAGACCCAUCCAGUUUGUACUCCUUUAACAAAGGAGCACAGAGACAGUGCCAUAAUGUGGAAGUACAAAGUGGUACUGCUCUCCUGGAUACCAGUUUGGUGAUCUAUAUCAGACACCUUAAUGUUUCUAUGACUAUUGACCUAGUGAUUUUAUGUUUAGCUAUUUAUCUUAAGAAAAUAACUAAACAUUUCAUUAAUUAUAAGAUGUUAAUCUCAGCCUUGCAAAGGAGAAAAAUUGGAAGUAACUUUCUGAUGGGGAAAUUCAUUUCUUUAUAGCUGUAGUGAAAAUUUGCAGUAGGGGAUUGCUAAGUAAAUUACUGUAUAUCUGGCCAGAUGGUGGAGUGCUGUGCAGCCAUUAGAAGUCAUGCAGAAGAACAUUUGACCGGAAAGAAAAAUGCUCUUUGAAUAUUAAACAGGUUAUAAGAUAGUAUGUGUUAUGCAAUAUUGAUUCUGGUCUUUGAAUAUAGGCUGUACUUGUGUACAUGAAGCAUUUAAAAAGAAAAGACUGAGGACAGCAGCUAGGGAAAUUAACUCAACUGGUGGAACCCAGGAUUUGUAUAUUUUCUGCUCCUGGAGCGGUGUCUGGCUUCUCACUUGCUUCCUUUCUCAAAUGCAACUCAUAAUACCAAUAGAUAAAGAAAUUUUGUUUAAAAAGACUGAGAACACACUCCAAAAUGUUAAUAGUAGUUAUCUUUGGAUAGUAAAUUAAGUUGUAAUUUUUCUCCUUGGUUUUCCUGUAAUUUACCAUUUUCUACAUUGUGUGUGCCUUCCAUGUAAUAAAAAUUAUAUAUAUA